Molecule: ribosomal RNA, 415 nt
Filed under: uncultured bacterium
Lineage: Bacteria
Description: bacterial SSU rRNA
Rfam family: Bacterial small subunit ribosomal RNA
Source: RNAcentral
UGGGGAAUAUUGCACAAUGGGGGAAACCCUGAUGCAGCAACGCCGCGUGAAGGAAGACGGUUUUCGGAUUGUAAACUUCUGUUCUUAGUGAAGAAUAAUGACGGUAGCUAAGGAGCAAGCCACGGCUAACUACGUGCCAGCAGCCGCGGUAAUACGUAGGUGGCAAGCGUUGUCCGGAAUUACUGGGUGUAAAGGGAGCGCAGGCGGGAGACCAAGUCAGCUGUGAAAAGCUACGGGCUUAACCUGUAGACUGCAGUUGAAACUGGUUUUCUUGAGUGAAGUAGAGGUUGGCGGAAUUCCGAGUGUAGCGGUGAAAUGCGUAGAUAUUCGGAGGAACACCGGUGGCGAAGGCGGCCAACUGGGCUUUAACUGACGCUGAGGCUCGAAAGUGUGGGAGCAAACAGGAUUAGAUACC